GUACCGCUCUCUUCUACGCACAGCUCGCCAAUUCUGCGACUACAGCAUCAGAGAAUACACGAAGCGUCGCGCUGUCGACGCCUUUCGUGAAAACCGGAACCUAUCAGACCCUUCUUCAAUCUCCGCCGCUUUCUCCGAUGGAAAGGAUCAGCUCGACGUCGCUCAACGACAGGCCAUCGUCUACUUUUUCUACGCCCCCAAAACCAAGAGCGUCAUGGAGACCAGUUCCUAUUCUUCUUCUUCUUGAAAGAAAAAGCACCUUCGUGUUCAAGAUGAUGAUGGGUAAUUUUAUUUAUCUUGAUUUUAAUUUGUAAUAGUUGAUAUUGUAUUUCGUGGUACUAGCAAGUCUAGUCUGAAAAGUGAGUUUUGAUAUCAUAAGAGAACUGAAUUCUUUCUUCUUUGGAACAAUUGAUCCGGAUUUUAAUUUACUACUUUUAGUUGCUUAUUUCAACUUAUAAUUUUGUAGCUGAAGAGAAUAUUGUAUCCUAAAAUCAGGGAAUUUGAGUAAUUAUUGAGCAAGUUACAAUACUUAUUUUUUGUGGUUUUAAUAUAACGUUUUGCGGUAUUCAGUUUGUCAUCUCCAAGUAAAUGGUCGACCUGAUAGUUGAUAGUAUGGAGGAAAAAAGUUGAAUCUUUU
Molecule: unclassified non-coding RNA, 637 nt
Filed under: Hevea brasiliensis (rubber tree)
Lineage: Eukaryota; Viridiplantae; Streptophyta; Magnoliopsida; Malpighiales; Euphorbiaceae
Source: RNAcentral